RNAcentral lists this long non-coding RNA (873 nucleotides) under Olea europaea (common olive). Its description in RNAcentral is "long non-coding RNA (OEUR_LNC004302)". Lineage: Eukaryota; Viridiplantae; Streptophyta; Magnoliopsida; Lamiales; Oleaceae. The record is from RNAcentral.
GGAUUUAUGUUUACUUUGAAUUAGUAAUACUAAAACUAAAAAAUCUUUUGUUACUAUAAUAUUUUUAGUUUGUGGUUGCAUUUGUUUAUUUAGCCUGUGUUUGAGCCCCAUUAUUUGGUAAAGAAUGCAUUUUUGAAUAGUAGAUUAAUUAAAAAUGCGUGGUUAAAAAAUAAGGAAAAGUUAUGAAUUUUCGUGUAAUAUUAUUUUAUUGAAAAAUGUGUAGUUGAAAAGAAGAGAGUGAAAAAUGUAUUUUGAAAAUAAUAAGGGAUAAAACCAGGGCAAAAUUUUGGCUACAAUGACAUCGGUUCGACCCCGAUUGAACUUUUUUACCCUUGAUCCUUUAUCUUUUCCAGGUUGAUGCCUUAAUUGAUUUUCAAAAAAAAAAAAUUCCUCCAUUUCUAGGCACCCUAUUUUGAGCAUUUCAGCAUAUUUCUAGGUCGUUUUAGCAUGUUUCUUGGUUGUUCUGGUUGUUUCAACACAUUUUAAGCAAGUUCAGCACAUGCAGAUCAGAUGUAUUCAAAGCUGGUUAAGUUUUUUUUUUACCAAUUUAUACCUUUACAAUAUUGGUUUCUCAUUUUUUUAAUUCUUUAAUUUUGGCUAUUUUAUGCCGAUUUAGGCUAUCUGUUGAUUUUUUCAAGCAUAUUUCAAGUUUUAAUGUUCAUCGAUAAUCUUAUUUGUCAAUCGUCUUCUAAAACAAUUGUGCUUCCCUUUUUUCCCCAAUUACUAAAGGUCAAUAAGUCUUAUAUCCUCAAUUUCAAGUUUUAAUGUUCAUUGGUAAUCUUAUUUGUCAAUCGUCUUCUAAAACAAUUGUGCUUCCCUUUUUUCCCCAAUUACUAAAGGUCAAUAAGUCUUAUAUCCUCAAUUUCAAGUUUU